This is a long non-coding RNA of Bos taurus (domestic cattle), 736 nucleotides long. The record is from Ensembl. NCBI's taxonomy places the organism in Eukaryota, Metazoa, Chordata, Mammalia, Artiodactyla, Bovidae.
GUGAGUGUGAAGAGGUGUUUUGAGAAGCUUGAUAGAUUGAGGAGUGAAGGAAAAUGGCCCUCAUUUCUCUUUAAUUAUAGGGAAGAUCUGAAAAUGUUGCUAAACAAUGGAAAAGGGUUCAUUAAACAGGGAGACUUCAACUGUGUAAAAGAGAUGGGGCCACUGAGGGGUAAAGAAUGUCAAGAAGAGACAGAUGGGAGAAGGACAAAGAGUAGCUGAGAGGUUGAGCUUUGGAGCUGGACAUACUAAGAUCUGAAUCCCAGCUCUACCUUUUUCUAGCUGUGCAUCCUUGGGCAAAUUGCUUAACCUUUCUGGGCCAUUGCCUAGACUUUAAAAUGGGGUUAAUAAUGCUUGCCUCACAGAGUUGUUCUAAGAGCCAAAUAAAUAGAAUGCUAUGGAAUGUUCUCUCAUGCCUGACUCCUUGUGAUCCCAUGAACUGCAGGCUGCCAGGCUCCUCUGUCCAUGGAAUUUUUCCAGAUGCUGGGGAUGAAACAAAGGCCAUAGCGGACAAGAUUCCCAUUCCUCAGGAGCAUCCUGCCCACGGAUUCCUCAAUACAGCUAAGCAUGCCCGAUCAACUUCAGAGAUGUUUAUGCUACAGGGCAGGAAGCCUGACACCUCCAAACGGCUGCUGAGGUGGGGAGAAAGGCGGCAGAUAACAGCAUGGAGCCCCUUCCAUCCUCUCAUCUCACUACCUCCUUCCCCCACACAAGCUGUAGAGGGAGAGCCCUGUGAGAC